Molecule: ribosomal RNA, 388 nt
Filed under: Salmonella enterica subsp. enterica serovar Derby
Lineage: Bacteria; Pseudomonadati; Pseudomonadota; Gammaproteobacteria; Enterobacterales; Enterobacteriaceae
Also listed under: 2 other names
Description: partial 16S ribosomal RNA
Rfam family: Bacterial small subunit ribosomal RNA
Source: RNAcentral
CGAACGGUAACAGGAAGCAGCUUGCUGCUUUGCUGACGAGUGGCGGACGGGUGAGUAAUGUCUGGGAAACUGCCUGAUGGAGGGGGAUAACUACUGGAAACGGUGGCUAAUACCGCAUAACGUCGCAAGACCAAAGAGGGGGACCUUCGGGCCUCUUGCCAUCAGAUGUGCCCAGAUGGGAUUAGCUUGUUGGUGAGGUAACGGCUCACCAAGGCGACGAUCCCUAGCUGGUCUGAGAGGAUGACCAGCCACACUGGAACUGAGACACGGUCCAGACUCCUACGGGAGGCAGCAGUGGGGAAUAUUGCACAAUGGGCGCAAGCCUGAUGCAGCCAUGCCGCGUGUAUGAAGAAGGCCUUCGGGUUGUAAAGUACUUUCAGCGGGGAGG